GCCAUCGUGGUGUAAUGGUCAGCACACUCGGCGCGUAUGCGAGAAGUCCGAGGUUCGAAUCCUCGCGAAGGCA
RNAcentral lists this transfer RNA (73 nucleotides) under Stegodyphus mimosarum. It matches the Rfam family "tRNA". Rfam says of the family: Transfer RNA (tRNA) molecules are approximately 80 nucleotides in length. Lineage: Eukaryota; Metazoa; Arthropoda; Arachnida; Araneae; Eresidae. The record is from Rfam by way of RNAcentral.